This 255-nucleotide ribosomal RNA is filed under the name uncultured bacterium. Its description in RNAcentral is "partial 16S ribosomal RNA". It matches the Rfam family "Bacterial small subunit ribosomal RNA", at positions 82 to 334 of the family's 1533-position model. The record is from RNAcentral.
CUGGGCUGGAUGAGUGGCGAACGGGUGAGUAACACGUGAGUAACCUGCCCUCUUCUUUGGGAUAACGGUCGGAAACGGCUGCUAAUACCGGGUAUUCACUGUCCUUCGCAUGGGGGGUGGGUGGAAAGGUUUUUUCUGGUGGGGGAUGGGCUCGCGGCCUAUCAGCUUGUUGGUGGGGUGAUGGUUUACCAAGGCUUUGACGGGUAACCGGCCUGAGAGGGUGACCGGUCACAUUGGGACUGAGAUACGGCCCAG